Molecule: small nuclear RNA, 95 nt
Filed under: Octodon degus (degu)
Lineage: Eukaryota; Metazoa; Chordata; Mammalia; Rodentia; Octodontidae
Source: RNAcentral
GUGCUUGCUUCGGCGGCACAUAUACUAAAAUUGGAAUAAUAUAGUGGCCUCCGCGCAAGGAUGACACGCAAACUCAUGAAGCGUUCCAUAUUUUA